Long non-coding RNA from Leguminivora glycinivorella, 319 nucleotides. RefSeq lists it as uncharacterized. The record is from RefSeq and is a predicted model, not a curated record. NCBI's taxonomy places the organism in Eukaryota, Metazoa, Arthropoda, Insecta, Lepidoptera, Tortricidae. The transcript has 2 exons.
CCCUCAACUUCCAACGCAAGUCUUGUACUCCAGAAACGGGUGGAUACGCAUUCAACGCCCAACGUAUUUUGACAGGAUUGGUAAUGAAUGAACUGAGGUCUAGUUAUCCUCCUAUAUCAGGUACCAAAAAUUAUAAUGUCCCUGAACAAUAAAUAAGUUCCAAUAGGCAAGUUCAAGUGCAGUUUAGUUUCAUAUAUUUUGCGAAAACCCUCAAUUUCUUCUUUCAUUUCGACAUGUUUCUUUGUAAGUAUUUAAAACCAAUCAUUUCAAAUCAAUUUUCCUUAUUUUCAUAUCUAAUAAACAAUCAUUUCAUAUUUUA